Chlorocebus sabaeus (green monkey) is the source of this 2467-nucleotide non-coding RNA. The record is from RefSeq and is a predicted model, not a curated record. Lineage: Eukaryota; Metazoa; Chordata; Mammalia; Primates; Cercopithecidae.
CUAAGCUGAAGAGAGAACACUCCCCUCUGCUUCCCAUCUUAAAGCAGCUGAAUAAUUUCCUUAGAAUUCUAUUCCUGAAGCUAGGAAGAAAAACUUAUUUAUACAUAUAUGCAACCUGCAAGUCUCCAGUUUCUAUUCUUCCUUCCUCUCUGACCCUUCCCCUCCCCCACUUUGCACCAGAGAAGUCAGACUCCGGGAGUGCUUUAACAGUUUGAAGGCUAAUCUGAAAGAGGAAGAAGAAUCUGUAUAUCUGUAUAUAUUGGCUAGCAAAUGUGCCCUGCCCUCUCUCCUCUUAAAAACAGCAGCAACCCAUCUUUGCAAAGAAGCUUGCCUAUAGAGCAGGCACUCUGUGAAUGGACUGUGCUUUUAUGACCCUACAGGGUAUCCAGAUACUGUGCAGCUCACCAAUAAGGAUUAGUUGCAAGGACUGGUAGAUCGAAUUUACUGAAGACUUGGAGCUUGCUUCUGAGAAAAAACGCAAAGGACAGUAAACUGUGGACCUUGAAGUUAGCAGAGAAGAAGGAACAAUUUGAAGACGGAGAAGAAAGUGGAGAAGAUCUAAGAAAUGAUUAUCUGACUACAAGCGUGGGCUUCCUCUGAUAUUACACCAUAAAAAGCAUUGAUCACCAUAAGAAGGAAUAUUUGUGAAGGUACUCCAGUGCCAGAAAGAGGUAUACCUGAAUUUUCCAAUGAACUUUGCUUUUUCAACUUGCAAUUAUCUUAACAAAGUAACUUACUUCAUUAUUCUCACGAAAAUAAAAUCAGUUCUAUUUAUGUUUGUUGCUAGCUUUUAUUAACCCAUUUGUUUUCUGCUAAGACGGCUUUUACAAUGCUGUAUUGUAACCUCUUCACACUUCUAAAUUAUCAUUCCUAUCCCCCACUAGAAUAUGAGCUGCUUGAAGGCAGGGAUGAGGUCUAAAAUAUCUUAGAUUUCCAAAGAAACUCUCUGUAUUCAUCUAGUGGAGGGUAACAUUAUUGGGGGAUCACAGUAAAUUCUAAAAAAUAAAAAAUAAAUGCUGUUUCAGCCAAGUAAAGCCAUAAUCUGUGAAAACAGUGGCUUGUAUUAAAUGAUCUCUACCACUCCAGGAUUCACCACUUGCUUGAAAGUUUUACAAUCUUCUUUUUAUGGCUUAAUACAAAUUGUUGACUUCAUUAUAAAUAGACAACUGAAUCUAAAUAUUUAAAUUUUUAGAAAAGUUUAUUUUGGUCUGCAAGGACUGGGACGUUAUUAAUGAGACUAGAGACCAUCUGCUUCUUUGUAUAUUUUUAUAGUUAUUUAUCAGUUUUAUUUAGCAUCUUUCAAAGAUGUGAGAAUUUCAAAUUUAAUUAUAACAUGUAAUGGAAAAAUGAUUAGUCUAUAUCAAUGAUAUGGGUGGGAAUUUUUUAUUUUUUAGAUACAAGGUCUCACUGUUUUGCCCAGGCUUAUCUUGAACUCCUGAGCUCAAGCAAUCCUCCCGCCUCAGCCUCUUGAGUAGCCGGGAUUACAGGCAUGUGCCACCACAACUGACAUUAUCUGUGCUUUUUAACAUUAUGGUUAGCCUUGUGACUUAGUACUUUCCUUGAUAUAUUGGGAAGCAACUUUACUUACACAGCAACUUCGGACUCUGACAUUGGAAAGAUUUUAAUUUAUAUUGGAAUGAGAAGAUAACUCCAAAUGGUUUUAAAUGACAAAUAAUACUUUCAAAUGUUAAACUUGCCCUAUCAUUAAUUUAGUAUUCACUCAACACUUACUGAGCACUUAUGGGCAAGGUACGUAUGUGCUAGGCCCUGUGUGGGCUGCUUUUUUAUAUAUCAACCAGAUAGUCUGGGAGAUAAGAUAUUUAUACAAAUCAUUGAUUUGCAAGAUUGAUUUAAGUUCCUCUAGAAGUUCAUCAAAGAUAGAAAUUACUUCAGAUAGAGGCUGAGGGAAGACUUAGUCAAGAAAGUGUAAUUUGAGCUGAAUGAUGAGUAGUUUUUGUAUAUGCAAAGAAGGAGGAAAGGGCAUUUCAGGAAAGAGGAAAGGCCAUUCAAGAAGAAAAAAGACAGUGAAAAAAGACAGCCAGGUGGGUAAGCUUAUGGCACAUGUCACUGGUAUACUGAAAUAGUUGUUUCUUCUAACUAUACAGUGUACAAAAGAGAGCAGUGAGAGAGAAACUUGGAAAGGUAAAUUGCACCCAGACUAUAGAGAGCCUUAAAUAUCAGGCCAAGAAGUCUAGAUGUUAUUCUGAAGGCGUUCUAAAUCACUGAAGAUUUUAAGGAAGACAUGUCAUAAUUGAAAGCUACAAUGUGUAAAGAAUUAUUCCAGAAAGGGUUUGUAGCAGGGUAUAUUGAAAGUUGAUAGUGGUGGGAAGGCCUGCUGAUAAUUAUCUAAUACCUUUCAAGUGUGGCUCAUCUAUAAUAUGAACAAGUUCUGAGGAGUUAAUGUACAGUAUGGUGGCUAUAGUUAAUAUUAUAUUAUUUACUUGAAAUUAUUAUAUUAUUUACUUGA